Molecule: long non-coding RNA, 1812 nt
Organism: Hemicordylus capensis (graceful crag lizard)
Lineage: Eukaryota; Metazoa; Chordata; Lepidosauria; Squamata; Cordylidae
Exons: 5
Source: RefSeq, a predicted model, not a curated record
CCACAUGAUUGACUUGAUCAUUUGCUCGGGCUGAGAAGGGGGGAGAGAAAAGUGGCCAAGGGGAACUCUCUCGAUCGGCCACUCGGGCCGGCUCUCCGAAAUCUUGGCCAGCCAGCCCGAGGACGAGGAGGGAGGGGGCAAUUUGCAUCUGCCGCUUUUUGGCGAGAGAUCCCCCCCCCCUCCUUGCCUUGAUCGCGAUCAGGCAACCUCGCAAGACAUGCUCAGCUCUCAGCUUGGACUCCCCCUAUCUGGGGGAAACCGUGGUGGCCGGCAGGAUCGCGCAGCAUCAGUCCAAGAAGCUCCAGCGCUUAAGAGAAGUAAUCAACGAUAAAGUGACGUUGAUCUGCACUGUAACCUUGUGGCGUAUUUAAUGCACCUUCCCACUAGAAGAAAGAAAAAGAUAGACCUUGAAGGACCACAUGUCUUGGAGAAGCCACAGUGGCAGCCUGCAGAAGACAGAAAAGCAGAUGUUCUCAAGGAAGGGAAGUAUUUACAGAGAAAAAGCUCUUACCCCUCACCUUUAGCAACUCUGCUCAGCGAAACAGCUAUUAUCAGGCAAAACUCAUAACGUCUUAAAAGAAGCCACCAAAGUUUCUGAGAUUCAGAUGGAUAGUCUGUAGAGAAGAUGCAUGUCUUUAUUCCCACUGAAGGCUUAACAUCUACAGAUGUGCAUCUUCGAAGAAUGUUAUUAUCAGAGAAUGUGGAUACCAGCUGUGAGGCUGCUGUUCAGGACAAGCAUUUAGUUUUCUUUUAUUACAUACUGACUGGACUGAGAACUAAGAAAGAAAAGUGAAAAAGGCUUAUACAGAAAUGUUAAGUGCACAGGACGAUCUAAUUGGUGUUACACACAUUUUAAAAAGAUAUUCUGGGAUACUUACGCUAUUUUAAGAAACAAGAAUGAACCAGAAAUGUAAAACCUAGGAUCCAAGAAUUUAAUUGUCUCCUUAUAAUAGCUUCAAGUUAAAUCCUGAAUCCAAACAUCUAAAGGGUUUUUAGAUUAUUCAAUUGUUUUAAAGCUCAAGUUGACUGAACUAGAUUCAUACAAACUAGCUGAUAUCCUGAUUAAGGCAGUAGAAAGUACCAGGAAAAUGUGUCCAUGCUGUGGAGAACUUCACCGCUGCCACUGUGCCCAUGUGCAUGGGUACAUGAUUUUCAGCAAUCUUCUCUGCCUCCAGGAGUGUGCUGUGCUUAAAAAAAAAAAAAGUCCUCGAGGGCUGCAGAAUCCUCAGGGACAUAUUAUCAGAAGGCACAGAGCACUUCCAGAGGCAGAGGAAAUUGCCCCAAAUCAAUUCCCUGCCACCACCACAUGCGUGCUGGCACAGUAGAAGUAGGAAAGCCUCCAGCUGCAUUGAGCAGCCUCCAAUUAAAAGGCCGCAGUUCCUAUUGUGUCCUUGCUGUAUUAGUCAGGAUAUCAACCUUUUUCAAUAGGGAUACAUAAAAGGUAAUUCACAUUGCAAAACUCAUUACAGAAUUUUCAGGAAAAUCACAUGUGUAUUGUUACAAGUAAUAAUUGCAUGUGUGUAUUUGUAGUUGUUUUUUGCUUGUACGCACACAUACCCAGAAGCUAUGAUUAGACUUGGCAUUCAAAUGUAUGUUUAGGAUCCUUGAUGAUUCAAGCACUUAGACCAGUAAUGAUCGAACACUCUCAAAGACCUGUACCAUUUCAAAAUGUACGUAUCUAUGUAACCACUUGUUAACAGAGUCACUAAGGGGCUACAGUGUGAUAGAAUUUUCCUCACCACUUGGUAGAAUGAUACAGAUGACCAAGUGGUAAGUUGCACCUAGUAAAUUGUUGUUUGCAUUCACUCAGAA